GCCUGGGUGGCUCAGUUGGCUGAGCGUCUGACUUCAGCUCAGGUCAUGAUCUCGCGGUUCGUGGGUUCGAGCCCCGCGGCGGGCU
Molecule: transfer RNA, 85 nt
Filed under: Felis catus (domestic cat)
Lineage: Eukaryota; Metazoa; Chordata; Mammalia; Carnivora; Felidae
Rfam family: tRNA
About the family: Transfer RNA (tRNA) molecules are approximately 80 nucleotides in length. Their secondary structure includes four short double-helical elements and three loops (D, anti-codon, and T loops).
Source: Rfam by way of RNAcentral